This 21-nucleotide non-coding RNA is filed under the name Arabidopsis thaliana (thale cress). The record is from RNAcentral. Lineage: Eukaryota; Viridiplantae; Streptophyta; Magnoliopsida; Brassicales; Brassicaceae.
UUAAAUGGGUACCACUAUAUA